Molecule: non-coding RNA, 29 nt
Filed under: Mus musculus (house mouse)
Lineage: Eukaryota; Metazoa; Chordata; Mammalia; Rodentia; Muridae
Source: RNAcentral
UCUAAUUCUUUCCACAAGACACACGAUGG